GGCUCGGUGGUGAAUGGUCCACACCUGUGUAUCAUGGAAUAAAACGAGUGCUUGCAUGCAGGAGACGCCUGUUCGAUCCAGGCCCGAGCCA
Molecule: non-coding RNA, 91 nt
Organism: Mycena vulgaris
Lineage: Eukaryota; Fungi; Basidiomycota; Agaricomycetes; Agaricales; Mycenaceae
Source: the annotation of a GenBank genome assembly